This 253-nucleotide ribosomal RNA is filed under the name uncultured prokaryote. RNAcentral's name for it is "partial 16S ribosomal RNA". It matches the Rfam family "Bacterial small subunit ribosomal RNA", at positions 524 to 776 of the family's 1533-position model. The record is from RNAcentral.
UACAGAGGUCCCGAGCGUUGUUCGGAUUCACUGGGCGUAAAGGGUGCGUAGGUGGUCAGGUAAGUCGGAUGUGAAAUCUCGGAGCUCAACUCCGAAACGGCAUUGGAAACUACCUGGCUCGAGGGUUGGAGGGGGGACUGGAAUACUUGGUGUAGCAGUGAAAUGCGUAGAUAUCAGGAGGAACACCGGUGGCGAAGGCGGGUCUCUGGGCAGUAACUGACGCUGAGGAGCGAAAGCGUGGGGAGCGAACAGG